UUUUCCCCCCAAUCUUUCCCUCCCUCUCUCCAUCUCCUCCCUCAACCCCACCGACCGCCACCCACGAGCCGGCCACCGUCGUCCACCAGCUACCACCGCCACCGGACGUUCAGCUCCAUCUUCGGAUCUCCGGCCAAAAGUCUUAAACCCAUCGUCGUCGCCUUCGGGAGCUUCCAGAAUGAGGGCUUGCUAUCCACCGACACCACAGCCAGUGAAGCCGAGUUCGGCUUCUCUCGCCCUGACUUUUGGAGGAGCCAACUCGCCGGGACCGUCGAGUUCUACCAGCGCCACGUCUUCCUUUACUACAAGAACCCCAAGGUCUAGCCCCCCAGAAUCGAGUCCUCCGAGUUCGAUCGCGUGCCGAGGCUGCUCUCCGCUGCUGUGAUGCCCAUGAAGGCCGAUAUGAAAAAAGAGGCGUGUUAAUGCCAAUCUAUAUGCUUUAGGUGCUCUGGUACAUUGAACUUGGAGGUGCUGAUCCACGGGAAAGAAGAAAAGAUAUGCUGUUGUGUUGUGUUGUGAAUGUGGAAAAAGUUUUUACUUUGUGUCAUCUUUUGAAACUAUGUGCUUGUUGAAUAGCCUGAGCUUUUAGGCAAGUGAGCUUGUAAGCAAGUUUGAUGUUUGAAUCGUUGUUAGGAGGAAGAUAAAGAUUAUCCUUAUCUUGCAGCUGGAAAUGUUCACAAUUGUAAUUUUUAUUUGCUGCAUAGACGCAUGGAUGUAAGCUUAUUGCAUAGAUGCAUGGAUGCAAGCUUUUGAUGUCUUAUAUCUCACUUAUAAGCAUAGAGGCAUGGAUGUAAGCUUUUGAUGUCCAGCUCAUCUUAAUAUAUAUAAUUUG
Molecule: long non-coding RNA, 832 nt
Organism: Alnus glutinosa
Lineage: Eukaryota; Viridiplantae; Streptophyta; Magnoliopsida; Fagales; Betulaceae
Exons: 3
Source: RefSeq, a predicted model, not a curated record